This 30-nucleotide non-coding RNA is filed under the name Mus musculus (house mouse). Lineage: Eukaryota; Metazoa; Chordata; Mammalia; Rodentia; Muridae. The record is from RNAcentral.
UNGGACAAAUCAGCAACCUACAGAUUGGGA